UACGUAGGGUGCAAGCGUUGUCCGGAAUUAUUGGGCGUAAAGAGCUCGUAGGCGGUCUGUCGCGUCGGAUGUGAAAAUCCAGGGCUCAACCCUGUACCUGCAUUCGAUACGGGCAGACUAGAGUUCGGCAGGGGAGACUGGAAUUCCUGGUGUAGCGGUGAAAUGCGCAGAUAUCAGGAGGAACACCGGUGGCGAAGGCGGGUCUCUGGGCCGAUACUGACGCUGAGGAGCGAAAGCGUGGGGAGCAAACAGG
Molecule: ribosomal RNA, 253 nt
Filed under: uncultured bacterium
Lineage: Bacteria
Description: partial 16S ribosomal RNA
Rfam family: Bacterial small subunit ribosomal RNA
Source: RNAcentral